This 529-nucleotide long non-coding RNA is filed under the name Gallus gallus (chicken). Its description in RNAcentral is "lncRNA (ENSGALG00010007236.1)". The record is from RNAcentral. Lineage: Eukaryota; Metazoa; Chordata; Aves; Galliformes; Phasianidae.
CUCAGAGUGAAGGACUCCAUAUGGCCUCAGACUGGAGGAGGAGGGGGGAAGAGGCCAAAGGAGAAGGAAAGGGGGAAAAUUUUGCUGAGGCCAAAAGCCACGAGAGCUGCUGAAUGUCUGAAUGAGAGCAUUGCAUCAGGAGGCCUGUAUGCUAUUUUCAGAGACCACCUUCUUAACACUAUUAAGUGUUCAAGGAUAUCUGUUGAACUAAGUCCUAAGCCACCAUUUUGCAACUCUGUGAACUCACAUGUAGCUGAGCAUGGAUGAGAUACUAGAAAUGUGGAUCUCUGUCAGAGAAAGCAAUUUCAAUUUUUAGGGUUCUGAAUUUGAAAGUGAAGCUCCUGCCUCCUCAAGUUCCAGCCCUCAUCUCUGUUGAAUUCCUGAGGCACUGCAUUGCUUCAGAAGUCACCUUGGUGCACACUUGGCCAUGAGCAGCAGAGCCAGCACUAGGUUCAAUGCUGCCCUGCAGCAAGCAGACCUGCAGAACUGAGCAGUGCUCAGCAGAACUAAAAUAUUUCCAGCUGGAGGG